RNAcentral lists this ribosomal RNA (930 nucleotides) under Streptomyces lavendulae. RNAcentral's name for it is "bacterial SSU rRNA". It matches the Rfam family "Bacterial small subunit ribosomal RNA", at positions 1 to 956 of the family's 1533-position model. Lineage: Bacteria; Bacillati; Actinomycetota; Actinomycetes; Kitasatosporales; Streptomycetaceae. The record is from RNAcentral.
AGUUUUGAAGGGUUGGGCGGGCGUGCUUACACAUGGGGAGUCGAAGGAUGAAGCCCUUCGGGGUGGAUUUUUGGGGAACGGGUGAGUAACACGUGGGCAAUCUGCCCUUCACUCUGGGACAAGCCCUGGAAACGGGGUCUAAUACCGGAUACCACUCCGGCCUGCAUGGGCGGGGGUUGAAAGCUCCCGCGGUGAAGGAUGAGCCCCCGGCCUAUCACCUUGUUGGUGGGGUAAUGGCCCACCAAGGCGACAACAGGUAGCCCGCCUGAGAGGGCGACCGGCCACACUGGGACUGAGACACGGCCCACACUCCUACGGGAGGCAGCAGUGGGGAAUAUUGCACAAUGGGCGAAAGCCUGAUGCACCGACACCCCGUGAGGGAUGACAGCCUUCUGGUUGUAAACCUCUUUCUCCACGGAAAAAACGAGAGUGACGGUACCUGCACAAAAAACGCCCGCUAACUACGUGCCACCAGCCCCGGUAAUACGUAUGGCGCAAGCGUUGUCCGGAAUUAUUGGGCGUAAAGAGCUCGUAGGCGGCUUGUCACGUCUGAUGUGAAAACCCCAGGCUUAACCUCGGGUCUGCAUUCUAUACAGGCUAGCUAGAGUGUGGUAUGGGAGAUCGGAAUUCCUGGUGUAUCGGUGAAAUGCGCACAUAUCACGAGGAACACCCGUGGCGAAAGCGGAUCUCUGGGCCAUUACUGACACUCAGGAGAGAAAACGUGUGGAGCGAACACGAGUAUAUACCCUGGGUAGUCUACGCCGUAAACAUUGGGAACUAUGUGUUGGGCGACAUUUCUACGUCGUCUGUGCCGCACUAACACAUUAAGUUCUCCGCCCUGGGGGAGUACUAGCCCGCACGGCUAAUAACUCACACGAAGUUGACGAGGGGGCGCGCACAUGCAGCGCAGCAUGAUGGGCUUAGUAGUCU